UUACCUUCGGGUAUUGAGGAUGGCGGACGGGUGAGUAACGCGUAAGGAACUUGCCUCUUGGUCUGGGACAACUGUUGGAAACGACAGCUAAUACCGGAUAUUAUGAGAUUCUCGCAUGGGAAACUUAUGAAAGCUAUAUGCGCCAAGAGAGAGCCUUGCGUUCCAUUAGCUAGUUGGUGGGGUAACGGCCCACCAAGGCGACGAUGGAUAGCCGGCCUGAGAGGGUGAACGGCCACAAGGGGACUGAGACACGGCCCUUACUCCUACGGGAGGCAGCAGUGGGGAAUAUUGGACAAUGGACCAAAAGUCUGAUCCAGCAAUUCUGUGUGCACGAUGAAGGUCUUCGGAUUGUAAAGUGCUUUCAGUUGGGAAGAAGCAAGUGACGGUACCAACAGAAGAAGCGACGGCUAAAUACGUGCCAGCAGCCGCGGUAAUACGUAUGUCGCAAGCGUUAUCCGGAUUUAUUGGGCGUAAAGCGCGUCUAGGCGGAAAAAUAAGUCUGAUGUUAAAAUGCGGGGCUCAACUCCGUAUUGCGUUGGAAACUGUUUUUCUAGAGUACUGGAGAGGUGGGCGGAACUACAAGUGUAGAGGUGAAAUUCGUAGAUAUUUGUAGGAAUGCCGAUGGAGAAGUCAGCUCACUGGACAGAUACUGACGCUAAAGCGCGAAAGCGUGGGGAGCAAACAGG
This 686-nucleotide ribosomal RNA is filed under the name uncultured bacterium. Its description in RNAcentral is "bacterial SSU rRNA". It matches the Rfam family "Bacterial small subunit ribosomal RNA", at positions 74 to 776 of the family's 1533-position model. The record is from RNAcentral.